Grus americana (Whooping crane) is the source of this 3682-nucleotide RNA transcript. It is a transcript of the gene named transcription factor CP2-like protein 1, with no coding region annotated. The transcript is spliced from 16 exons. Lineage: Eukaryota; Metazoa; Chordata; Aves; Gruiformes; Gruidae. The record is from RefSeq and is a predicted model, not a curated record.
CACCAACCUGUCCCUCCCUGCUGUCACCCUCUGUGUGUGUCCCCCCCGCAGGACACCCCCACCAUGCUCUUCUGGCACGGUCAACCUGACCACUACUGGUCCAGUCCCGGGGAGAUGUACCCCAUCUCCGGCCCUGGGCUGCUCAGGGACCCCCCUGUGCUGCCCUACCUGAAGCAGGAGGAACCCCACGGCAUCUCCACCUCGCAGCCCCCCUGCUCGGCUUUCGAGUACGUGCUCUGCGCCCCCACGUCUCCCGCCGUCCGGCACCACGAGGAGACCCUCACCUACCUCAACCAGGGGCAGUCCUAUGAGAUCCGCAUGAUGGGGAACCCCCGGCUGGACCCCGGUGGGGAGGGGCGGAGGAUGCUCAAGUUCAGUCCCAGCUCAUCCCAGCUCAGCCCUGGUCCAUCCCCAUCUCCCCACGGGGCCAGGGGCCGUGGCCGUGGGCUCAGCCCGUGGCCGUGGCUGGCGGCACAUGGGCCUGAUCCUGCGGCGCAGAGCGUGGUGCGCGUGGUCUUCCACGACCGGCGGCUGCAGUACUCGGAGCAGCAGCAGCUGGAGGGCUGGCGGUGGAGCCGCCCGGGCGAUCGCAUCCUCGACAUCGACAUCCCGCUCUCCGUCGGCAUCCUCGAACCCCAAAUCCACCCCACGCUGCUCAACACGGUGGAAUUCCUCUGGGACCCCUCGAGGCGGACGUCCGUCUUCGUGCAGGUUCACUGCAUCAGCACCGAGUUCACGCUGCGGAAGAAUGGGGGGGAGAAAGGCGUCCCCUUCCGCAUCCAGAUCGACACCUUCGGGGUGGGGGGCAAGGGGGACCCCCCCGAGCACCUCCACUCUGCCAGCUGCCUCGUCAAGGUGUUCAAGCCCAAGGGGGCCGACAGGAAGCAGAAGACGGACCGGGAGAAGGUGGAGAAGCGCCCGGCGCCCGAGCGGGAGAAAUUCCAGCCGGCCUACGAGACCACCGUGCUGGCCGAGUGCGCCCCGUGGCCGGACGUGCUGGGUGCACCCCACAGCCCCCCAGGCACCCCGGGGCUGCUGCCUCCUCACCCCUUCAAGCUGCUGAGCCCAGAGAGGGUGUGCGUGUCACCCGCCUGUGCCGCCGAGAGCCCCGCCGAGAGCACUGGCGAGGCGCUGAGCCCCUGUGCAUCCCCCCUGGAGACGCAGCAGUGGCUGCACAAGCGCCGCUUCUCUGCCUACGCCCGCGUCUUCGCCAACUUCGCAGGCGCCGACCUGCUGAAGCUCUCCCGCAGGGACCUGAUCCGGAUCUGCGGAGCCCCUGACGGCAUCCGCCUCUGCAAUGCGCUGACGGGCAGGUGCCCGCGGCCCCGGCUGACCCUCUACGUGUCGCGGGAACUCGCCGGCGGGGCCGAGGGCGCAGAGGACGGAUGCUCAGGGCUGUACCAGGAGAUGCACCUGGAGGAGCUGACGGUGGCCGAGCUGACCGGGAAGCUGGCGGAGCUGCUGGGGCUGCCCGUGGGCCAGAUCCUGCGGGUGUCCCGGCAGGGACCCUCCGGCAUCCACAUCCUCGUCAGCGAUGUGAUGAUCAGGAACCUUCUGGACGAGACGUGCUUCGUGGUGGCCAUCAGCAAAGUGCACGGCCCGGAGGGGUACCGCCUGGUGCUGCGGUAGGACCCGGCCCCGGAGCUGCGUCACCCCCAGGAAGGGAGAUCUCCCACCGGUGCUGGAGCGAGCUGUGCGAGGAUGGAGAGAGGAGCCCGAGGCUUGCACCAUCCCUGAGAGCCCGUCCUCCAAACACGGUUCACCCUCCCUGCACCCCUGCCAGCCUCGCCCGGCCCCUCCUGCAGAGGGAUCUCUCUAUACAUCUAUAUCAUAAUCGAGGGAGCGUAUGACAAGGUUCCAGCUCGUGCGUCCAGUACCUCAGACUGAACAGACACCGUGAACCCACCCGAGUUUAAAAACGCGUUAAAAAAUAGCGAGGCGGCCAGGCCUGUCCCGCGAUGGGGGGGGUCCGCGGGCACGACUGCCCCACGGGUCCCGCACCGGCUGCGCCAAGCAGCGAGAUGGGAAAGGAGCCGGAGGAGGAGAACAUCGAGCACUCGGGGUUUGCAUAGAGGAGGGGAACAACCCCGGCCGGGCAGACGCUGGGUCAGCAGCUGGGGGCUGUGGCCAGCAGGGAAAACCCAGGUGAGCUGGGAUGCACCUCGAGGGAUGGAGGAAGGUCGGUCGGUCAGUCGGUGGCUGCAGCGUGAAGAGCCCCGGGGAAAGGCGGGGUGCUGGGGGUGCUGGCAGAGGGGGGCAUUUCUAUGGCCCCCCCCAGGGUAGGGCAGGGGGUGGCACAGCCCAGCCCCGGGGUCUCACCGGCUGGCGGGAGCAAGGGAUGCGUUUCCUCGUCUCUUAAAAAACCCCCAAACCCCAAACCUCUGCCCAUCUCCGUGCCAGAUGAGCCAGGCAGCCGGUACGUGCGAGCUGCCGGCACGGAGAGCACGUACCGCCGGGGCAGCCGAGCUCGGCUCGGAGCCGCAGGGGACCGGACGGGGUGUCACCGGUGCUGGGGUGCUGCGACAGCCCCUCUGUACAGGAGGGUGCGAGGGGCCGGGAAGGCACGGAGCGAAGCUGUGAGGGGAAGGGGAAAAUGACUUUCCCCCCCCCCGCCACCCCAUUUUUUCGGCCCCCUGGAACUCCCUGAGCUGCAGCACAGGGACCUCAGCACCCAUGAGUGGAGCUGGGUGCCCCCCUCAGACUUUUUUGGAAAGCAAAGCAGGAAAAAACCCCAUGCCAGAAACAACAGCCCCAACCAGGCAAUCCUUCCUCAGAAGGGGACAAGAUGUUUGAAAUCUCAUUUUGGGGGCACGCACCCCUCCCCCAGAACACUGUAGUGAAGAACCUUGUCAUACUCAUCUCCCAUCCACCCCCCACCCCACCAAAAAAAAAAAAAAAACCAAACCCAAAACUAACCCAAAUACCAUGACACCAUGGGCCAGCCAUGAACAACAGAGUAAAAUGGAAAAAAAAAAAAAAAAAAAGGAAAUUACAAUGAUGAUUAGAAAAUGGGAAUUUGUUAAAGUUCGUUUUAAAUAACCACUGCGACAGCAGGUUACACUUGCCCCAUCCUCAGCAGCAGCCACCACAGAACGGGGAUAAAGUGCUGCCAUGUCUCUCCAAAGACCGGAAAAGCCCAAUUUUGGGUUGCAUUAGAUCUUCCCACGCCACCUCCCAGCAGGUCUCGGGCUAUUUUGCCGGAGAGGUCCCCUCGUCCCUGCACCCGCAGGUCCAGGAGCAGGUCGGGGCCAGGGCAGCGCCGCGGGGCUGGGGACAGGUCCAGGUUACGGCAAAAACCGGCUUUUUUGGGGUGGAAACACAGAGUCUGGCCUCUGCUCUGCGGACAUGACUUCGACAGAGGCGGCCCAGGGCUCGGGGCGCACGCGGGGUUUCAAGGGAGGGCAAGGAAAGGGCCGACGUUUGGAGAACAGCUCGCGGUCUCACAUCAAGGACCCGAUCUGCCUCGUCCAGCUGCUCCGGUUCCAAAGCUGGACAAGAUGCGUUUGGCACAAGUAGGGAGCUCGCAAAACGAUUUUUCACCAUUUUCCAUCACUUACCCCCCAAAAUGACAGUACAGAGAUGUUCAUCUAUAAAUGACGGACCUGAAUGUCGGUGCUUGGUGCGCUCCGCAGCCACCAGCCCAAACCCAGGGCCAGCGCCCGACCCAGCACCCAGCUCGGGA